AUGUUUAAAUAUGCCCGCACCCACCAUGAUUUGAACUCAGAAUUUACGCAUGGGAGUGUAGGGUCACAUGCAUAUGUGGGAAAAGAGAGUUUAUGGGAAGAACUGAUGUGUUAUCACAUUUUUUUCACACUCUCUUAUUUUUGUUCUUUUUCUCACCCAUCUCCCCUAAGCUAUUAUACUUUUCUAAUAUUUUUUCCUGUGAUCACUGUAGAACAAUAGUUAUUUAGAAACCACCUUCCUUUUUCUAAACCCUUUCUCAGAACUCACAUUUUCUGUUAAAACCUUCCAUAAGACAAAUUCCUAUUUGAUUCACUAUGAUAUUUAAGGUAUCCUGAUACUGUAGCUAAUUGACACUAGGCAUCAAAAGAAGACUUAGAAAAUCAAAACCAAAGAAGAACAUUAAAGCAGGAAAAGAAUUUAAAAGUCCUGGAGACACGUUUCUUCUUUUUUUUUUUUUUUCCUAUAUGAAGAAACUGGGACACAUAAAAGUAGCUUCCUUAGUGUCACACAGCAGCAGAUCUAUGGGACUAGAACCGGAGUUUCUCGGAAUCUUUUUUCUCUUAUCUUUCUCAGAAUCUUUUUUCUUUUAUAUUUAUUCUAAAGGAAUACAAAUUUUGUUUCAACACUUCUUUAGUUUUUUUAAAAAAAUUAUUUUUAAUUACAAAGAAGCAUGUAUUUAUUUAUUCAUUCAUUAACUCUAUAAAUAUACGAAGGCACACUCUGUUCCAGCACCACUGGCCCUGGCAAUACAGAAAUCAGUGGGACAGAUGGGGGUCCUUCCCUGUCUAGAAGCAACAUCUUCAGCACCUUCAUUAUGAAAAAAAUAAAGGGGGGGGGACAGUAGAUAGAAACACAAAUUGCACUCAGAUCCUGCCCUCAUGGAAUUUAGGAUCAAUCAGAGGCUAAGUGAAGUGGUACCGAGGAAAUAAAAUUAAGGUUGAAAAGAGAGGUUAGAUACUGGGUGUUUUAAUUGCCCCAUUUAUAAAGGGUGCUUGUUAUUCCAUCCAGAGUAAGUAAUCAUUGGAGGAUUUUAAACAGAGAAGUCAGGGACUAAGAUCUAUGUUUUAGAGAAUUCCUUCUGGUACAGUAAAAAAGGGGCUGAUCGGAUGAAAACACCAAUUUGAAAGGGAUCUGGGAGUCAGGGCAAGAAAUGAUAAGGAUGUGAACCAGAGCAGCAGCCACCCUGCCUUACAGCAGCCAUCCCAUUGGCCACAUCCUUCACCAAGGCUGGCCCUCUGCAUGCAGCAGCACAGAGCUGGGCACUGACUUCAAGAAAGACAUGAGUCCCCUGCUCCAAAAGCUCACUUGCUAACCUAAAAUAUCUGAUAGCAUUCCAGAAAAGAGAUAUUUAUUGGGUGGUGCCAUUUAAAACCCCAGAGCCCCCUGAAAAGCCAGUGUGAGUCAGAACUGGAGAUCAAGUGGCUGCACCCAUGAAAAGCAGGGUCAAGACCCAGUUCCUUGCCAAGUCCUAGACUUGGAGGGAUCUCCCAAGCUCUUCCCCAACUAGACCACUCUUACAUAAAGAAUGGAAUUCUAUGAAUACUAAUUAAGGCAAGCUAGUUUGAUUUCCUAUAGUAGGGGUUGGCAAAAUUUUCUUUAAAGGGCAAGAGAAUAAACAUUUUAGGCUUCAUGGGUGAUAGAGUCUCCAUGGUAACUACUCAAUUCUGUUGCUAUAGACAAAAUCUAAAUGAAUGAGCUUGGCCGUGUUCCAAUAAAAUUUCAGUUGGCAUUGAGGGUGGCUGUUUCCCAGAUCCAAGCCCUUUCCAUUUCUUCUCCUGAAUCCCAGGAUCCCUUUCAAACUAGUCUGCUCUUCCUAUCCAGUCAAUCCUCUUCACUGUACUAACAGGAAUUCUCUAAAACACAGAACUUAGUCCAUGAUUUCUCUGCUUAAAACAGGCAGAGGGCCAGAUUUAACCUACAGACAUGGUGUGCCCACACCCCAACCCCACUCCUCCAUUUCCCAUCCUAUAGAAAUCACUCUCUAUAAUUUUCCUACAAGGACGUAUUUACUGUACAUUAUCCCAUGCAUCCUUAACAAGUACAAAUCUAACAUUUCAGCAGAAUUGCUAUUUUUUCUCAUUCCUUACUUUCUUUUUGUGAAGCAGAUAAACACUGUGUUUAGAAAAUAAAUGUAGAAUUUUGUUUUAUUUUAGGUACUGAUAAGCUGUAGCAAGUAAUAUAAAUGCAUAGCAUUUAAAACUGGAAGGGAUUUGGGGAUCUACUAAUCUAACCCCCUUUCCUGAUGAGGCUGCAGAGACAAAAGGACUGCCCAAGGUCAUAGACCUUGCCCAGGUAUGCAAGUUGUGUUCAAGCUGUGCAAGCUGAGGGGCACCUUUUUAGGGGUAUGUUCCUCUGUGUGACCACACUCAUAGAAACAUGCUCUGACUCUUUUCCUUGAUUUAUUCAACUUCAUUUUGAAAAAUAUAAUAAAACCAAACUAAAAUAGCCUCAGUUUCUUUUUGAAAAAUAUAAUAAAACCAAACUAAAAUAGUCUCCUAAAAUAAAACCAAGCCUUAAAGAAGCACAUUCUGAUGACAGCCCAAACCAGCUAGCAAGUCAUCCUCUCUGAAGGCCAUGGUCAAAUAGGUUCCUGUGGCCAAGCAGACACACACAGGUGUCAGCUGAAGCAUCAGUGCCCCUGAAAUUCUUGUUCUGGCAGAAGAUUGACUAGCUGUGAUGUGUAGAAAUCCAGACUUAAAUCACUUUCUUUAGGAGCAUCCAUUCUUCUGUCCUAGAACCAUCAGAAAUAAUUUGUCUAUUAUAUUAAAAUGUUAUUUGUCAGUUGAGAUUUCCAAUACCAUACAAGCUAACUGAGCCUUGUGGUGGAAAUGCCCACAAAUUCUCCAAGGAACUGUGAGCCACAAUUAACAUUCCAUUGGAAUGGGGUGAAUACAAAACUAGAGAAGAAAUGGCAAGAAGAGGAGUAUUUCCAAUGACACAAUUUUCAUUCUGACAUUUCCAUCUUUUCUCCAGGAUUCCCAUUUUGCAGGCAAAUAAAGAUAAAAAUGCCAUACACUAUUUUUGAAUUUAGAUCUUCAAGAUGGAAUAUUUAUCCCCGCAUUGAACAUUUUCCUUGAAUGCAAGUUACAGAAAUUAAUUACACUAUGUCCUUGACUGACUCAUCCAGCAAUGGUUCCCAGAGAGAGGUCACAUUAAUUGUAUUCAUUCUUUUAAUAUCCUUCCACUUAACAUCAUGUCCACUUGGCAUCUUUGGAUUUUAAUAUUCUUAAAUCUUUUUAUGCACAUUUAGUUCCAUCACAAAAGAUUGUAAACUCUUUAUCAGUUGAUGUUAUCUUUUAUUUGUUUUAUUUCAUAUUUUUCUUUCCCUUCAUUUACCAGAUUUAUUUCAGACACACAGCUAAUCUAGAUUAGCAUCAACUCUGAUCCAGAGGACUGGGGCAGUUCAAAAGAGUAAGCUCUCUUCUGGGCUAGAGUGAGAUUGCUCUAAAGACUUAGAAAUGUCCCUGGGUUUCCACUACUUAACUUUGUUUACUAGAUGCCAGGCAAUACGCAAGUGCUUCGGGUUAUGUCAUUUAAUCCUCCAACAACUCUAUGAGAUACGCAUAUAAUUAUUUCCAUUUAAAGAGAGGGGUAUUAAGGUUUAGGGAGGUUAAAUAAAUCAUCCAAGGUGACAAAACGAAGAAGUGCACAGGCUAAGGACCCCAACCCGUUUUGUCAGCCUACAGAGCACAGACUGUUAAAUGCUAUGAAGACCCUUCUAGUUUGCCAGAUGAGGCCAGAAUAAUUUUUUUUUCAAAAUGAAAAUCAGAUUAUGUUACGCUUCUGCUGUGAACCCUUCAAUAGCUUUUCAUGUGUGCAGGACUUUAUUCAAAAUGCAUCUUCCAUAAUAUGGCAUUUAAAAUCCCCUGCCCUCCCUCUCAUUCCUACCUCACAUUUUUCUACCCAUUCUACUCCUGACUUACACCUUAUGUACCAAGCUGCUUGCUUCUAAAUAUGUUGCAUUACUUCACUCAUCCUGCUUUCCUCAUAAUGCCCUCUCUGCUCGGAGAACCCCCUUUCCUAAUCUGCCUGGGACAUACUUACUCAUUAACAUUCCAUUCACUGUCCCCUCUUCUUAAAGAUUUUUAUGAACUUCCUCCCAGUUUGCUUCCAUAAGCCCCAUUUCCACCUCGUGCAGACUUUUGUCAUGGUGACUAGAGCACAUCACUGUACUCCUGUCAAUAAAUCCAAAUGCCUCUGAAAACCAAGCCCUAGGCCUUAUUUAUCUUCUAUUCUUAGUGCCUAUUAUAUGCACAUAGUAGCUGCUUAAUCAUUGCAGCAACAAACCAUUUGCUGAGCAUCUGACAUGUGCUCAGUUUACAUGUAUCUAUUAAUCAUACAUCUGUAUGUAUGUAUAUGCAUAUGUAUAUGUAUGUUCAUGAUAGGUGUUAGUACUCCCCUACAGAUAAGGAAGCUAUUGUAGCUUGGAGAGGUUGCAUAAGUGACAACUGGAAUUUGAACCCAAAUUUGACUGACUUCAAAGAGGAAAGGAGGAGGAAGAAAAAGAUACACAAUUUCAAACAAAUGAAAUACUCUAUAUGACAUUGAGUGGCAACAUUGACCCCACCAGAAGGUGAACAGCAUAUUUUGCAAAUGGACAAUACUAUUAUGGGGGGAAUCUAUCUUAGAUGCUCAACUGGUGGUACCCUUUUUGGGGGAGAAUUCAAAGCAAGUAUGUCUGCUGCUGCAGAACCAUUUGCACAAUUCCACUGCCAGGAAUAAAGUGGAAAGGAAAAAAAGAGACUUUUAAAAUCACAGUUCUUCCUCUAGGACAGACUGUCAUUCUAUCUCAACAGAUAAAAAAUAAAAAUCUUUAUAACAAACCAGACUAGUAAAGAAGUUCUUU
This 4846-nucleotide long non-coding RNA is filed under the name Sus scrofa (pig). Its description in RNAcentral is "lncRNA (ENSSSCG00000060309.1)". Lineage: Eukaryota; Metazoa; Chordata; Mammalia; Artiodactyla; Suidae. The record is from RNAcentral.